GAUGAACGCCGGCGGCGUGCCUAAUACAUGCAAGUCGAGCGAACGGACGAGAAGCUUGCUUCUCUGAUGUUAGCGGCGGACGGGUGAGUAACACGUGGAUAACCUACCUAUAAGACUGGGAUAACUUCGGGAAACCGGAGCUAAUACCGGAUAAUAUUUUGAACCGCAUGGUUCAAAAGUAAAAGACGGUCUUGCUGUCACUUAUAGAUGGAUCCGCGCUGCAUUAGCUAGUUGGUAAGGUAACGGCUUACCAAGGCAACGAUGCAUAGCCGACCUGAGAGGGUGAUCGGCCACACUGGAACGGAGACACGGUCCAGACUCCUACGGGAGGCAGCAGUAGGGAAUCUUCCGCAAUGGGCGAAAGCCUGACGGAGCAACGCCGCGUGAGUGAUGAAGGUCUUCGGAUCGUAAAACUCUGUUAUUAGGGAAGAACAUAUGUGUAAGUAACUGUGCACAUCGUGACGGUACCUAAUCAGAAAGCCACGGCUAACUACGUG
This 497-nucleotide ribosomal RNA is filed under the name uncultured bacterium. RNAcentral describes it as "partial 16S ribosomal RNA". It matches the Rfam family "Bacterial small subunit ribosomal RNA", at positions 28 to 507 of the family's 1533-position model. The record is from RNAcentral.